This 923-nucleotide ribosomal RNA is filed under the name uncultured organism. RNAcentral's name for it is "SSU rRNA". It matches the Rfam family "Bacterial small subunit ribosomal RNA", at positions 28 to 920 of the family's 1533-position model. The record is from RNAcentral.
GACGAACGCUGGCGGCGUGCCUAAUACAUGCAAGUCGAACGCUUCUUUCCUCCCGAGUGCUUGCACUCAAUUGGAAAGAGGAGUGGCGGACGGGUGAGUAACACGUGGGUAACCUACCCAUCAGAGGGGGAUAACACUUGGAAACAGGUGCUAAUACCGCAUAACAGUUUAUGCCGCAUGGCAUAAGAGUGAAAGGCGCUUUCGGGUGUCGCUGAUGGAUGAACCCGCGGUGCAUUAGCUAGUUGGUGAGGUAACGGCUCACCAAGGCCACGAUGCAUAGCCGACCUGAGAGGGUGAUCGGCCACACUGGGACUGAGACACGGCCCAGACUCCUACGGGAGGCAGCAGUAGGGAAUCUUCGGCAAUGGACGAAAGUCUGACCGAGCAACGCCGCGUGAGUGAAGAAGGUUUUCGGAUCGUAAAACUCUGUUGUUAGAGAAGAACAAGGACGUUAGUAACUGAACGUCCCCUGACGGUAUCUAACCAGAAAGCCACGGCUAACUACGUGCCAGCAGCCGCGGUAAUACGUAGGUGGCAAGCGUUGUCCGGAUUUAUUGGGCGUAAAGCGAGCGCAGGCGGUUUCUUAAGUCUGAUGUGAAAGCCCCCGGCUCAACCGGGGAGGGUCAUUGGAAACUGGGAGACUUGAGUGCAGAAGAGGAGAGUGGAAUUCCAUGUGUAGCGGUGAAAUGCGUAGAUAUAUGGAGGAACACCAGUGGCGAAUGCGGCUCUCUGGUCUGUAACUGACGCUGAGGCUCGAAAGCGUGGGGAGCAAACAGGAUUAGAUACCCUGGUAGUCCACGCCGUAGACGAUGAGUGCUAAGUGUUGGAGGGUUUCCGCCCUUCAGUGCUGCAGCAAACGCAUUAAGCACUCCGCCUGGGGAGUACGACCGCAAGGUUGAAACUCAAAGGGAAUUGACGGGGGC